Acanthosepion pharaonis is the source of this 108-nucleotide non-coding RNA. NCBI's taxonomy places the organism in Eukaryota, Metazoa, Mollusca, Cephalopoda, Sepiida, Sepiidae. The record is from the annotation of a GenBank genome assembly.
UUACGGCCAUAUCACGUUAAAACAUCGAUUCACGUACGAUCACUGAAGUUAAGCAACACUGAAACUGGUCAGUAGCUAGAUGGGUGACCGCUUGGGAAUACCAGGUGC